GCUAUUCCUGCCCUUCCUACCGAGGACGAAGCCCUCAGCCUAAUCAAGGGCUCAAAAUAGACAAUUUCAAGAAAAAAAAAAUUAGUGCUUUCAAACAAAAGUUUCUUCUUUUGUCUUUGUUUGUAUUUUGUUUAUCUUGUCAAUUUAAAACUUGCCUUCGGUAGGAAUCGCUUGUCAACUCAACAUGAAAUGAUUAAACUGCUUUCAGGUUGCUCAAUAAAAUAUUUUGAUCUUUUGUGUAAAA
RNAcentral lists this unclassified non-coding RNA (244 nucleotides) under Hevea brasiliensis (rubber tree). Lineage: Eukaryota; Viridiplantae; Streptophyta; Magnoliopsida; Malpighiales; Euphorbiaceae. The record is from RNAcentral.